RNAcentral lists this unclassified non-coding RNA (244 nucleotides) under Scedosporium boydii. Its description in RNAcentral is "partial internal transcribed spacer region". The stretch from base 1 to 46 matches the Rfam family "Eukaryotic small subunit ribosomal RNA", at positions 1786 to 1831 of the family's 1831-position model. The record is from RNAcentral. RNAcentral also lists the same sequence under 1 other name. Lineage: Eukaryota; Fungi; Ascomycota; Sordariomycetes; Microascales; Microascaceae.
AAGUCGUAACAAGGUCUCCGUUGGUGAACCAGCGGAGGGAUCAUUACAGAGUUACUACUCCAAACCCAUUGUGAACCUUACCUAUGUUCUGUUGCCUCGGCGGCGUCGGUCAGCGCCCCUCUGAAAAGAGGACGAUGCCCCUCCCGCCGGCAGCACCAAACUCUUGAAUUUUACAGCGGAUUACAGUUCUGAUUUGAAAACAAAAAACAAGUUAAAACUUUCAACAACGGAUCUCUUGGUUCUG